GACCGCGUAGCUCAGUUGGCAGAGCAUUGAGCUAGCAUUCCAAAGGUCGUAGGUUCGAUUCCCACCGUGGUCA
Molecule: transfer RNA, 73 nt
Filed under: Paramuricea clavata
Lineage: Eukaryota; Metazoa; Cnidaria; Anthozoa; Malacalcyonacea; Plexauridae
Rfam family: tRNA
About the family: Transfer RNA (tRNA) molecules are approximately 80 nucleotides in length. Their secondary structure includes four short double-helical elements and three loops (D, anti-codon, and T loops).
Source: Rfam by way of RNAcentral